AAAUUCUGCAAGUUUUCUUGUAAAUUUGGCCAAGUACUGCAGAAUUCCUGGAAGACUGCAGAAUACACAUACUCAGAACCAAGAAUGAAGAGACGUUGCGAGCCAUCCCCACUAUGCAGGGCACCAACGGGCUGCCGCAGCCCACUCACAACCUCCUGAAUACAGAAGCAGUUGUGUUUGUGCUUUCUAAACAAAUUAAAGAAAACCGUGUAAAAGAAUUCUUUGCAAUAGUCUUUGCAGAGCAGAGGAAGUACUAGGUCUCUUUCCAAGACUUCUCUCUCAGAGGGAAAAUUGCAACCCUUGCCUACAACCAGACUGACAGCAUAAUUUCUUAGGAAUCAAGAAUCAAUACAGGGUUAUUUCUUUAGAUUAAACCUUAAAAGCCCCCUUGGAGGCUGAAGAAGCAGAGGAUAGCCAUGCAUACACUUGAACGUGAAAAAUGGUCCUCUUUCAUUGGAGAGGUCUUCCUCUUCAGCUAAACCGACAGAGUGGUGAAAAGAAGAAGGGACCCCUUGUUGACCAAAAUAAUCCAGACAAAUCAAAUCGGCCCUUUCCAGCAAGGAGUGGAACAGCCCAAGGGUGGCUAGAUCACAUCUUCUGCUCACACCACCACUGAGCAACCCUCUCCAGGACUGCCACCUAUGCAUAGGUCAUGCCCUGUGCAAGAGCACAUAAAGUGGGAGCUGAAGUCCUGCCCAGGCUCCAUUCACCAAGCAGAGCUUAUGUUGUUGUGUGUCUGUGUCUACCCAGAGGAUGUGGGUCCUUUUUAAAAUGUGCACCAAUGCAUCUUGUAUGAGCUGGCACCAGCUCGGACCAUCCCACCCUCAUACCCUGGUCCUAUCCAGGGUUAUAUUCCCUACUUUAGAAGAAUUAAUUAUUUUUAUGAACGUAUUUAGUUUAUUGUAAAAAAUGAAAUAUAUGACACAAAUUGAAAUUAAUUUCAGAGGUAAAGGUCAGAAUAUUACCAUGUAUGUGAAUUAUGUUUGUAUGUAUAUGUAUAUAUCAAGAGAGUUAUAUGAAUAUACAUUUUUGUGUAUCAGAAGUGAGGACAAUUUAACUUUGUUAAGUGUUUGAAAUAAAAUUAUUUUGAGUUUUGGA
Molecule: long non-coding RNA, 1098 nt
Filed under: Homo sapiens (human)
Lineage: Eukaryota; Metazoa; Chordata; Mammalia; Primates; Hominidae
Description: HSALNT0322684
Source: RNAcentral